This is a non-coding RNA of Chrysemys picta bellii (western painted turtle), 73 nucleotides long. The record is from the annotation of a RefSeq genome assembly. Lineage: Eukaryota; Metazoa; Chordata; Testudines; Emydidae.
AUCAGGAUGGCCAAGUGGUCUAAGGCACUAGACUCAAGCUCUGGAGAUGUGGGUUCAAAUCCCACUCCUGGCA